Molecule: ribosomal RNA, 117 nt
Filed under: bacterium
Lineage: Bacteria
Source: RNAcentral
CUCGGUGGUUAUACCCUGGGGGAAAUACCUCUUCCCAUUCCGAACAGAGAAGUUAAGCCCCAGAAGGCCGAUGGUACUGUGCUGGUAACGGCACGGGAGAGUAGGACGCUGCCGGGC